CUUGCUCCUCUGAUCAGUGGCGAACGGGUGAGUAACACGUGAGCAACCUGCCCCAGACUCUGGGAUAACAGUUGGAAACAGCUGCUAAUACCGGAUACGAGACGGAGAGGCAUCUCUACCGUCUGGAAAGUUUUUCGGUCUGGGAUGGACUCGCGGCCUAUCAGCUAGUUGGUGAGGUAAUGGCUCACCAAGGCGACGACGGGUAGCCGGCCUGAGAGGGCGACCGGCCACACUGGGACUGAGACACGGCCCAGACUCCUACGGGAGGCAGCAGUGGGGAAUAUUGCACAAUGGGCGAAAGCCUGAUGCAGCGACGCCGCGUGAGGGAUGACGGCCUUCGGGUUGUAAACCUCUUUCAGCAGGGAAGAAGCGAAAGUGACGGUACCUGCAGAAGAAGCACCGGCUAACUACGUGCCAGCAGCCGCGGUAAUACGUAGGGUGCGAGCGUUGUCCGGAAUUAUUGGGCGUAAAGAGCUUGUAGGCGGUUUGUCGCGUCUGCAGUGAAAAUCCGAGGCUCAACCUCGGACUUGCUGUGGGUAC
RNAcentral lists this ribosomal RNA (540 nucleotides) under uncultured bacterium. RNAcentral's name for it is "bacterial SSU rRNA". It matches the Rfam family "Bacterial small subunit ribosomal RNA", at positions 79 to 633 of the family's 1533-position model. The record is from RNAcentral.